GACGAACGCUGGCGGCGUGCUUAACACAUGCCAGUCGAACGGAAAGGCCCUGCUUUUGUGGGGUGCUCGAGUGGCGAACGGGUGAGUAACACGUGAGUAACCUGCCCUUGACUUUGGGAUAACUUCAGGAAACUGGGGCUAAUACCGGAUAGGAGCUCCUGCUGCAUGGUGGGGGUUGGAAAGUUUCGGCGGUUGGGGAUGGACUCGCGGCUUAUCAGCUUGUUGGUGGGGUAGUGGCUUACCAAGGCUUUGACGGGUAGCCGGCCUGAGAGGGUGACCGGCCACAUUGGGACUGAGAUACGGCACAGACUCCUACGGGAGGCAGCAGUGGGGAAGAUUGCACAAUGGGCGGAAGCCUGAUGCAGCAACGCCGCGUGCGGGAUGACGGCCUUCGGGUUGUAAACCGCUUUCGCCUGUGACGAAGCGUGAGUGACGGUAAUGGGUAAAGAAGCACCGGCUAACUACGUG
This 468-nucleotide ribosomal RNA is filed under the name uncultured bacterium. Its description in RNAcentral is "partial 16S ribosomal RNA". It matches the Rfam family "Bacterial small subunit ribosomal RNA", at positions 28 to 507 of the family's 1533-position model. The record is from RNAcentral.